UCCGUUUUAUUUUAUUUUCAUUGCCUUCUGUUUGGGGCACAGAGUGUAUGACAAAUUUUAUUUGAGUAUCUCAGGCAUUUUCGUAUUCCUUAUCGAGCUGUUAAUUCUGUAUGCAUGUUAUCAAAAACAAUCGAUUUUUGUGUCAUUCACAGUCACUAUUCUCCUCAAGUUGUAGCGCUGGUAGUCCUUGAAUCAUGAUUCUGUUUCUCAUACUUCCAUCGAAAGUCUGAAAAUCCCUACUUUAUUGAGGUGUUAGGUGAUGUUCAGAAUCUCAUUGAGCCCCCUUGGCAAUGAAGGCCCUUUUGGGACAUGGUACCACUGAGAACAGAGAGGUUUAAGAUGAAGAAAAAAACAUCAGAAUAAUCAUUUGGGGCUACAAAAGAGGUUGUAUAAAUAGAUUUGUAGACAGCACCUACUCUCUGUCAAUGUUAUGGUGUCUGACUGGAACCUUACUGGAGUCUUUGAGUUUGGGGAAAUGGAGGGCGUUGCAGGACCAUGGGCUUGUUUCAGCCUCAUUUUUUUAAGCAAGGCUUAAAGGAAUUAGUUUCUUUGAGCUGAAGUUUGUAGGUGUUGGAAUAUGCAUUGAAAUAUUUUUUACAACUUACUUUCCUACUGACUGAAACUAACUGAACUUUGUACCCUAACGUAGUGCUCUUGAAUAUUUGCUCUUUAUUCCCCUCUGGUUCUAAAGAAAUAUCUUGCAGUUCUCUUUUUUUUUUUUUUUUUUUUUUUUUUUAAUCUAUAGCUCAGGAAUCUGUUGGCAUUAUAAAUCCUUUAUGAGGUGAUGUAAUUUGUCUGAGUAAAAAAUAAUUCUUACCUGAAAUGUAACAUAAAUAGUGCUGGUCCUGGAAAACUGUAUUUUUUUAAUAUAUGGACAUUAUUUUCAUGUUGAUUUCAAAAAAAAAAAAAAAGAAGAAAAAAGAAAGAAAUAACAAAGAACGUUAUUUAUACUGUAGCUUGUCAGAAAUAACUUUCCUGGAAACUAAGCAUAGAAUUGAAUACUACUGGAUAUGGCGAUCAGGAAAGACUGAUUCCUUAAGGAACCUUCCCUCCCCUCCAAUACAAAAAGCAGGAGUAGCUUUGAAUGAUACCACUGAGACAACCAUACAACCAUCUCAGUGACAUUCCAGCCAGUUAAUGACCCUUGGGAGGAGGAAAACAGAGAGAGCAUAGCAGGUAAGCGUGAGCUGACCAUUUUGGAUCCUAAAUCAGUAGUCAGUGAUGGACAGGGAAUGGAUACACUCUUGUUUACACACACGAUUGAACAUUUGGCAUUGGAAGGGUGGAAGAGGGCUUGACUUCCCGUAAAGCAAAUUGAGAAAGACAAGUUAUUAGGCAAAGAGGAUCAG
This 1349-nucleotide long non-coding RNA is filed under the name Anser brachyrhynchus (Pink-footed goose). Its description in RNAcentral is "lncRNA (ENSABRG00000004928.1)". Lineage: Eukaryota; Metazoa; Chordata; Aves; Anseriformes; Anatidae. The record is from RNAcentral.